ACCUACGGGUGGCUGCAGUCGAGAAUCUUCCGCAAUGGACGAAAGUCUGACGGAGCGACGCCGCGUGCUGGAUGAAGGCCCUCGGGUUGUAAACAGCUGUCGUAGGGGAGGAAAUUUUGACCGAUCCUAGGAGGAAGCACAGGCUAAGUUCGUGCCAGCAGCCGCGGUAAUACGAACUGUGCAAACGUUAUUCGGAAUCACUGGGCUUAAAGGGUGCGUAGGCGGGUUGGUAGGUCAGAUGUGAAAGCCCACGGCUCAACCGUGGAAUUGCGUUUGAAACCACUAGUCUUGAGGGGAUCAGAGGAGAGCGGAACUGAUGGUGGAGCGGUGAAAUGCGUUGAUAUUAUCAGGAACACCGGUGGCGAAAGCGGCUCUCUGGGAUCCUUCUGACGCUGAGGCACGAAAGCUAGGGGAGCGAACGGGAUUAGAUACCCCGGUAGUCCUAGCUGUAAACGAUCUGUACUAGUCCGUGGGGACCCCCACAUCUUCUCGGACGUAGCGAAAGUGUUAAGUACAGCGCCUGGGGAGUAUGGUCGCAAGGCUGAAACUCAAAGGAAUUGACGGGGGCUCACACAAGCGGUGGAGGAUGUGGCUUAAUUCGAGGCUACGCGAAGAACCUUACCUAGACUUAACAUGUUUGAGAAUCUCUGUGAAAGCAGAGAGUGCCUUUCGGGGAACUCUUACGUAGGUGCUGCAUGGCUGUCGUCAGCUCGUGUCGUGAGAUGUCGGGUUAAGUCCCUUAACGAGCGAAACCCUUAUCUUCAGUUGCCAGCGAGUAAUGUCGGGGACUCUGGAGAGACUGCCGGUGUUAAACCGGAGGAAGGUGGGGAUGACGUCAAGUCCUCAUGGCCUUUAUGUCUAGGGCUGCACACGUCCUACAAUGCAACGUACAAAGCGACGCGAAAUCGCGAGAUCAAGCAAACCGCACAAAACGUUGCCCAGUUCGGAUUGCAGGCUGAAAUUCGCCUGCAUGAAGCCGGAAUCGCUAGUAAUCGUAGGUCAGCAUACUACGGUGAAUGUGUUCCUGAGCCUUGUACACACCGCCCGUCAAGCCACGAAAGUUGGGGGGGCCCGAAGUCGCGAUGCUAACCGCAAGGAGGCUAGCGCCGAAGGUCAACUCGAUGAUUGGGACUAAGUCGUAACAAGGUAGCCGUAGGGGAACCUGCGGCUGGAUCACCUCCUUU
Molecule: ribosomal RNA, 1184 nt
Filed under: bacterium
Lineage: Bacteria
Description: bacterial SSU rRNA
Rfam family: Bacterial small subunit ribosomal RNA
Source: RNAcentral